RNAcentral lists this ribosomal RNA (488 nucleotides) under uncultured bacterium. RNAcentral describes it as "partial 16S ribosomal RNA". It matches the Rfam family "Bacterial small subunit ribosomal RNA", at positions 30 to 507 of the family's 1533-position model. The record is from RNAcentral.
AUUGAACGCUGGCGGCAGGCCUAACACAUGCAAGUCGAACGGUAGCACAGAGAGCUUGCUCUCGGGUGACGAGUGGCGGACGGGUAAGUAAUGUCUGGGAAACUGCCAGAGGGAGGGGGAUAACUACUGGAAACGGUAGCUAAGACCGCAUAACGUGGCAAGACCAAAGAGGGGGACCUUCUGGCCUCUUGCCAUCAGAUGUGCCCAGAUGGGAUUAGCUAGUAGGUGGGGUAACGGCUCACCUAGGCGACGAUCCCUAGCUGGUCUGAGAGGAUGACCAGCCACACUGGAACUGAGACACGGUCCAGACUCCUACGGGAGGCAGCAGUGGGGAAUAUUGCACAAUGGGCGCAAGCCUGAUGCAGCCAUGCCGCGUGUAUGAAGAAGGCCUUCGGGUUGUAAAGUACUUUCAGCGGGGAGGAAGGUCCUGAGGUUAAUAACCUCAGCAAUUGACGUUACCCGCAGAAGAAGCACCGGCUAACUCCGUG